This 437-nucleotide ribosomal RNA is filed under the name uncultured bacterium. Its description in RNAcentral is "partial 16S ribosomal RNA". It matches the Rfam family "Bacterial small subunit ribosomal RNA", at positions 29 to 507 of the family's 1533-position model. The record is from RNAcentral.
AGCGAACGCUGGCGGCAGGCUUAACACAUGCAAGUCGAGCGGGCACCUUUCGGGGCGUCAGCGGCGGACGGGUGAGUAACGCGUGGGAACGUGCCCUCUGGUUCGGAAUAACUCAGGGAAACUUGAGCUAAUACCGGAUACGCCCUUUUGGGGAAAGGCUUGCUGCCGGAGGAUCGGCCCGCGUCUGAUUAGCUAGUUGGUGAGGUAACGGCUCACCAAGGCGACGAUCAGUAGCUGGUCUGAGAGGAUGAUCAGCCACACUGGGACUGAGACACGGCCCAGACUCCUACGGGAGGCAGCAGUGGGGAAUAUUGGACAAUGGGCGCAAGCCUGAUCCAGCCAUGCCGCGUGAGUGAUGAAGGCCUUAGGGUUGUAAAGCUCUUUUAUCCGGGACGAUAAUGACGGUACCGGAGGAAUAAGCCCCGGCUAACUUCGUG